GAUGAACGCUGGCGGCGUGCCUAAUACAUGCGAGUCGAGCGAACAGAUGAGGAGCUUGCUCCUCUGACGUUAGCGGCGGACGGGUGAGUAACACGUGGAUAACCUACCUAUAAGACUGGGAUAACUUCGGGAAACCGGAGCUAAUACCGGAUAAUAUAUUGAACCGCAUGGUUCAAUAGUGAAAGACGGUUUUGCUGUCACUUAUAGAUGGAUCCGCGCCGCAUUAGCUAGUUGGUAAGGUAACGGCUUACCAAGGCAACGAUGCGUAGCCGACCUGAGAGAGUGAUAGGCCACACUGGAACUGAGACACGGUCCAGACUCCUACGGGAAGCAGCAGUAGGGAAUCUUCCGCAAUGGGCGAAAGCCUGACGGAGCGACGCCGCGUGAGUGAUGAAGGUCUUCGGAUCGUAAAACUCUGUUAUUAGGGAAGAACAAAUGUGUAAGUAACUAUGCACGUAUUGACGGUACCUAAUCAGAAAGCCACGGCUAACUACGUG
This 497-nucleotide ribosomal RNA is filed under the name uncultured bacterium. RNAcentral's name for it is "partial 16S ribosomal RNA". It matches the Rfam family "Bacterial small subunit ribosomal RNA", at positions 28 to 507 of the family's 1533-position model. The record is from RNAcentral.